GAUGAACGCUAGCGGCAGGCUUAACACAUGCAAGUCGAGGGGUAGAGGAAGCUUGCUUCCUUGAGACCGGCGCACGGGUGCGUAACGCGUAUACAAUCUACCUUUUACAGAGGGAUAGCCCAGAGAAAUUUGGAUUAAUACCUCAUAGUAUUUUCGGAUCGCAUGAUUUGAUUAUUAAAGUUCCAACGGUAAAAGAUGAGUAUGCGUCCCAUUAGCUAGAUGGUAAGGUAACGGCUUACCAUGGCGAUGAUGGGUAGGGUCCUGAGAGGAGAUCCCCCANACGUGGUACUGAGACACGGACCAGACUCCUACGGGAGCAGCAGUGAGGAAUAUU
This 334-nucleotide ribosomal RNA is filed under the name uncultured bacterium. RNAcentral's name for it is "bacterial SSU rRNA". It matches the Rfam family "Bacterial small subunit ribosomal RNA", at positions 28 to 365 of the family's 1533-position model. The record is from RNAcentral.